This is a long non-coding RNA of Bactrocera neohumeralis, 1107 nucleotides long. RefSeq lists it as uncharacterized. The record is from RefSeq and is a predicted model, not a curated record. The transcript is spliced from 3 exons. Lineage: Eukaryota; Metazoa; Arthropoda; Insecta; Diptera; Tephritidae.
UUUCAGCCAAAUAUGAGCAAAGUACGCCAUUGUAGUCUUAAAGGUACUAGUUAGUCAGUUGGCCGUCCUUUCGCUUACUUAGCGGUCUUACAGUAGUUUCAAGAGAGCUAUAAAACUUUAUCAUAGAAAUAUCAAAAACGCAUUAAAUUUCAGAAAAAUGCUGUCUAGUUUAAAUCAUCUUGUAGUCAUGUAAAUUUAUUUAUCCCAAAAAUUGGGAUGCCAGGAGCUAACAAGGAUGUAAAAAUUAUAACGGAAACACCAUUAAACAAUGCAAGAAAGAUGGCUAAAUGUAAAUAAAUAUUAAAUUAAUAUUAAUUACAAAAAAAUGUCCCUGCAAAGUAUUCAAAAAUAUUUAUUGACGCUCUCUAAUGAAUUAUUUAAAACUCUAAUUAACUCAAUAAUCUUUUGACCACAGUGAAUCUUUCCAUAGCGGAUACCAUGGUAUCGAGUCUCUAUGCGACGUUCAAUUGAGUGUCUGCAUGUUGGACAACGACUGGCCUUUCGACAUGUUGCUAUUAUGAAGCCGUUGGAAUCACGCGUGAGUAAGCGGUGCAAUCUGGGCAUUGCCGUGUUCAUUUGGAUAACCUCAAUUGCGAUUUCAUGCCCCAUGCUGCUCUUCUUUACAACCGGCGAAGUCGAAUUGAAGGAUGGUACCCGAAUUGUAUGCUAGGCCGAGUGAUGGUUCUGCGAAUCAUUCGCAACAGGAAUAUUUGAGGGUAGGUGGCCAAUAAAGGAAGAAUUACUAUACUACUCGAUAUAAAUUACGAAUUAGAUUUCGAAUAAGCAAAUUAACUGUUCCGAAUUUAUCACUGCCUUAUAAUAGCCGGCUUACAUCAUUAUCGACAUGUUAGAUAUUCACGGUAUUGAGGCACUCCGAAGUACUUUAAGCUGUUGGUUCGCUUCGCAUGUUUUUUUUUAAUAUAUAUUUAUUUGCAAUCUAUCAAUUGACAAUCAUCAAAUUUUUUAAAUACAUUAAUAGUGACAGGAUUGAUUGUUCUCUAUUGAGACUAAUCAAUGUAUUCCUAAAUUAUUUUAUUUGCUUAAACUUCUUAAAACUACUUUUUUUUACAUUUUGAUCUUCCAUAUAGAUUUUAAGUAGUUUUAAGA